CAACUUUUCAUCACUUGAAGCCUUGAUAGCUAAGAUUCAUGAGGACAGGAAGAUUGCAGAAAGAGCUCUCGAACUUCCUCAAUACUUGAAGUACAAGGACGAUCCAUACCUUAAAAUCUCUUUGCAUCAGGACAAUUGAUCAUUGAAGAUUGUUGGAAUUCAUUGUUGUUUCUGAUUGGGAUUGCAUCUGCCCUGUUUCCUGGUGCAGUCAGAAUUAUAGCAGAAGAAUUUCCGUCAAUUGCAUGGCAUUCUAUAUACCAAAAAAAAAUAUGUAAUAAUUGACUUUAUAACUAUUCAGAAUAAUAUUAGUAGUGUUUAUAAAGUGGGUUAAGCAUUGUCGAUGCUUAAGGGUCGAAGUGCUGUAUCCUUGGACUGAGAAGUUCAAGUUAUGGUGUCAUCUAAGUGUCCAUUUGGUUCACAAAAUAGACUUACUAAUGUAAUUUUCUUGAUUUCUGCUUAUGACAGAAGUACUUGUGGUUGUGAUUUUGCAUUUUGAAGAAAUGAGUGGACUUCACAUUGAGGCAUUUGCAUUGUUUCCUUUUAGACACAGCCCAAAUUCUGAAUAUGCUGAAAUGAAGAUUUUAGCACCUGUAGCUGGAGAUGACCAGCCUGGUAAUCACUCUUGGAAGAAAAGAACUGUAAGUCAUCUCUCACUGCCAAUAUUUCUUGCCUAUGGAGCUUUUGUGGGGGGGAAUCAAUUAAAAUGCAUGGUGUCAAUAGGAGGAAUCUGUUGCUCCUUAUGCCACCUUUCUGGUUUGAGUGUAUUGAAAUUAAUAAAGGAAUGGGAGGUGUUGCAUGUUAGAAUGACAAAGUAAAAGCUAGUUGUGCGCGAUGUCAUUGUUUGUAAUAUUAUGUUAAAUGAAUGUCCGUUGUUUGUUAAAAAGUGUCUUAGGAUUUACUUAAGCUUUGAAGUUAAUCAAUAUGACGUUCUAUAAGUAGCGUAAGAGUUGCUGAAUGUUGCCUCAACCACGACCAGUUUGUGCCAAUAGAGCUCCCUUUUUCUAUUGGAAGCAAGGCUGUGAGUGAGUCAAACCUGCUUGUGAGCUAAUUAAGCCUGUCUUAGCUUAUAACUGUUCAAGCUGGAGCUAGCUCAGUUGACCAAACGAGCCAAUCUGUGGCACAUAAAUGUUCAAUACGCUAAGCUUAUGUAUUUUUUGCUUUCUCAUACUUAUAUUGACUAUAUUAACAUGCUGGUUUAAUCCCAAUAGAGUCUUUAUGCUGGAGAUUUAUAAUACCACUGUUACCUUUCUCAAAAAAAUAUGCUGGUUUAACUAUAAAUUUCCACGGCAUUUGAUUUUUUUAAUAUGCGAGUUUAAAGGAGUGCACCAUUCUUCUAUUAACUAUUUAAAGUAAUCAAUCAGUGACCAGCCUUAGAUAGGAGGGUAUAGAGGUCAAAGAUUAGGGUAGAAGGUUUGUAGGUAGCCGAGCGUUUUCUCUUUGUCUUACUCAGUUCGCUAGCAUUAGUGUUAGUAUGAUAUCUUUUUAUUCAUAGAUUGCUAUUAUUAUCUAGAGUUUCACUGCAUUCUUGGAUUCGAUCUUAUUUUAUCUUGCUGUUAUUCUUACUUGUUGCAAGUACCUUUUUAUUUUCCGCUGUUCUCUAGCUGAGGGUCUAUCGGAAACCUCUCUGCCCUUCCGGGGUUAGGGGUAAGACUGCGUACAUCUUACCCCCCAGACCCCACUUGUGGAAAACUACUGGAUUUGUUGUUGUUGUUGUUGUAAUCACCAGAGGUUUGUUUAAAUUACCAUUUAUUGACAAAUAUUUUGGAAUGAA
Non-coding RNA from Nicotiana tabacum (common tobacco), 1771 nucleotides. Lineage: Eukaryota; Viridiplantae; Streptophyta; Magnoliopsida; Solanales; Solanaceae. The record is from RefSeq and is a predicted model, not a curated record.